AAAUUGAAGAGUUUGAUCAUGGCUCAGAUUGAACGCUGGCGGCAGGCCUAACACAUGCAAGUCGAACGGUAACAGGAAGCAGCUUGCUGUUUCGCUGACGAGUGGCGGACGGGUGAGUAAUGUCUGGGAAACUGCCUGAUGGAGGGGGAUAACUACUGGAAACGGUAGCUAAUACCGCAUAACGUCGCAAGACCAAAGAGGGGGACCUUCGGGCCUCUUGCCAUCGGAUGUGCCCAGAUGGGAUUAGCUAGUAGGUGGGGUAACGGCUCACCUAGGCGACGAUCCCUAGCUGGUCUGAGAGGAUGACCAGCCACACUGGAACUGAG
RNAcentral lists this ribosomal RNA (326 nucleotides) under Shigella flexneri. RNAcentral's name for it is "bacterial SSU rRNA". It matches the Rfam family "Bacterial small subunit ribosomal RNA", at positions 1 to 323 of the family's 1533-position model. The record is from RNAcentral. Lineage: Bacteria; Pseudomonadati; Pseudomonadota; Gammaproteobacteria; Enterobacterales; Enterobacteriaceae.